Molecule: unclassified non-coding RNA, 447 nt
Filed under: uncultured Cortinarius
Lineage: Eukaryota; Fungi; Basidiomycota; Agaricomycetes; Agaricales; Cortinariaceae
Description: sequence contains ITS2
Rfam family: 5.8S ribosomal RNA (bases 33-186)
Source: RNAcentral
AACUUUUAACAAUGGAUCACUGAACUAGCGUCAACUUUUGGCAAUGGAUCUCUUGGCUCUCGCAUCGAUGAAGAACGCAGCGAAAUGCGAUAAGUAAUGUGAAUUGCAGAAUUCAGUGAAUCAUCGAAUCUUUGAACGCACCUUGCGCUCCUUGGUAUUCCGAGGAGCAUGCCUGUUUGAGUGUCAUUAAUAUACAUAUAUCAAGCCUUCUCUUGUAGAAGGGUUUGGAUGUGGGGGUUUGCUGGCCUCUUAAUCUUAAGAGUUCAGCUCUCCUGAAAUGCAUUAGCAGAACAACCUUAUGUUCAUUGGUGUGAUAACUAUCUACGCUAUUGAAUGUUGAGAGGGAAGUUCAGCUUUCUAACGGUCCCUUGGACAACUCAUCAUUAAUGUGACCUCAAAUCAGGUAGGACUACCCGCUGAACUUAAGCAUAUCAAUAAGCGGAGGCU